RNAcentral lists this ribosomal RNA (459 nucleotides) under uncultured bacterium. RNAcentral describes it as "partial 16S ribosomal RNA". It matches the Rfam family "Bacterial small subunit ribosomal RNA", at positions 338 to 795 of the family's 1533-position model. The record is from RNAcentral.
CCUACGGGAGGCAGCAGUGAGGAAUAUUGGUCAAUGGGCGGAAGCCUGAACCAGCCAAGUAGCGUGCGGGAUGAAGGCCCUACGGGUCGUAAACCGCUUUUGCACGGGGAUAACACCCUCCACUUGUGGAGGUCUGCAGGUACCGUGCGUAUAAGGGCCGGCUAAUUCCGGACCAGCAGCCGCGGUAAUACGGGGGGCCCGAGCGUUAUCCGGAUUCAUUGGGCUAAAAGGGAGCGUAGGCGGGCGUUCAAGUCAGCGGUAAAAUCGCGCGGCUCAACCGCGCCCCGCAGUUGAAACUGGACGCCUUGAGUUCACAACAGGCGAGUGGAAUUCGAGGUGUAGGGGUGAAAUGCAUAGAUAUCACGAGGAACCCCGGUUGCGAAGGCAGCCUGCCGGGGUGCGACUGACGCUGAGGCGCGAAGGUGCGGGUAUCAAACAGGAUUAGAUACCCUGGUAGUC